AUUGAACGCUGGCGGCAGGCCUAACACAUGCAAGUCGAACGAGUGGCGGACGGGUGAGUAAUGUCUGGGAAACUGCCUGAUGGAGGGGGAUAACUACUGGAAACGGUAGCUAAUACCGCAUACCAUCGGAUGUGCCCAGAUGGGAUUAGCGAGUAGGUGGGGUAAAGGCUCACCUAGGCGACGAUCCCUAGUUGGUCUGAAAGGAGGACCAGCCACAUGUGAACUGAGACACGGUCCAGACUCCUACGGGAGUCAGCAGUGGGGAAUAUUGCACAAUGGGCGCAAGCCUGAUGCAGCUAUGCCGCGUGUAUGAAGAAGGCCUUCGGGUUGUAAAGUACUUUCAUCGGGGAGGCGUUACCCGCAGAAGAAGCAACGGCUAACUCCGUGCCAGCCGCCGCGGUAAUAC
RNAcentral lists this ribosomal RNA (406 nucleotides) under uncultured bacterium. Its description in RNAcentral is "partial 16S ribosomal RNA". It matches the Rfam family "Bacterial small subunit ribosomal RNA", at positions 30 to 526 of the family's 1533-position model. The record is from RNAcentral.